GUGGGGGAUAUUGGACAAUGGGGGGAACCCUGAUCCAGCGACGCCGCGUGAGCGAAGAAGUAUUUCGGUAUGUAAAGCUCUAUCAGCAGGGAAGAAACAUGACGGUACCUGAGUAAGAAGCACCGGCUAAAUACGUGCCAGCAGCCGCGGUAAUACGUAUGGUGCAAGCGUUAUCCGGAUUUACUGGGUGUAAAGGGAGCGCAGGCGGUGCGGCAAGUCUGAUGUGAAAACCCGGGGCUCAACCCCGGGACUGCAUUGGAAACUACCGAACUAGAGUGUCGGAGAGGUAAGUGGAAUUCCUAGUGUAGCGGUGAAAUGCGUAGAUAUUAGGAGGAACACCAGUGGCGAAGGCGGCUUACUGGACGAUAACUGACGCUGAGGCUCGAAAGCGUGGGGAGCAAACAGG
This 406-nucleotide ribosomal RNA is filed under the name uncultured bacterium. RNAcentral's name for it is "bacterial SSU rRNA". It matches the Rfam family "Bacterial small subunit ribosomal RNA", at positions 354 to 776 of the family's 1533-position model. The record is from RNAcentral.